This 369-nucleotide ribosomal RNA is filed under the name uncultured organism. RNAcentral's name for it is "bacterial SSU rRNA". It matches the Rfam family "Bacterial small subunit ribosomal RNA", at positions 526 to 896 of the family's 1533-position model. The record is from RNAcentral.
CGUAGGAUGCAAGCGUUAUCCGGAAUCACUGGGCGUAAAGAGUCGUGUAGGCGGUUUACCACAUCGUGCUUGAAAGCCCGAGGCUUAACCUCGGCGUUGGGCACGAGAUGGGUAGACUUGAGGGUAUGAGAGGGAAGGGGAACUCAUGGUGAAGCAGUGAAAUGCGUUGAUAUCAUGAGGAACACCGAAGGCGAAGGCACCUUCCUGGAAUACUCCUGACGCUGAGACACGAAAGCUAGGGGAGCGAAGCAGAUUAGAGACCUGCGUAGUCCUAGCCCUAAACGCAUGCCUGCUAGAUGCCGGCCGCAAGGUCGGUGUCGUAAGCUAACGCGUUAAGCAGGCCGCCUGGGGAGUACGAUCGCAAGAUUA